AAUUGUGUUCUUUUUCUCGAAUGUUGAAGCGAACGAACAAAAGUUUACCUCUUUUUACUCGUGUUUAGAGAGAGCGAGCGAAAGAGAGAGGAUUUUCGAAUUUUGAAAAGACGGGAAGAAGAAAGAAAGAGGCGUGAAUAAUGAUGAUUAAUGUGACGGUUUCGCGGGAAAUUUUGCCGGCUAAUAACAAUGACUCGAAUCGUUGGACCGUGGAGAACGAUGCGACUUCGGACGCUAUAGUGCAACUAAUAUUUUAUAUCUUUUACGGGAACAUUUUUGUACUGGGUGUAUUCGGGAACGCGCUGGUGUGUUUCGUGGUGGCACGAAAUCGUCAAAUGCAGACCGUAACGAACCUGUUUAUUACGAAUCUGGCACUGAGCGACGUGUUGCUUUGCGUAUUGGCGGUUCCGUUUACGCCUCUUUAUACGUUUAUGGGUGGUUGGAUAUUCGGUAAAACCCUCUGUCACUUGGUGCCGUACGCUCAAGGUGUCAGCGUUUAUAUCAGUACAUUGACUUUGACGAGCAUCGCGAUCGACAGAUUCAUGGUGAUCAUAUACCCGUUUCAUCCUCGUAUGAAGAUCGAUGUUUGCCUAGGCAUAAUCGUUGGUAUCUGGAUAGUGAGUUUGCUGGUCACGUUGCCGUACGGGCUUUACAUGCAUCUCGAGGAACCGUACGCUUAUUGCGAGGAACAUUGGCCGACCGAACGGUUUCGUAAAAUCUUUAGCUCUCUCACCUCGAUACUUCAAUUCGUCUUACCUUUCUUCGUGAUUGCGUUUUGCUAUAUUCGCGUUUCGAUCAAGUUGAACGAUCGAGCUAAAUCCAAGCCGGGCACCAACAGCAACAACAAGAGAGAGGAGGUCGAGAGAGAGAGAAAGAAGCGAACGAACCGGAUGUUGAUAGCUAUGGUCACUAUAUUUGGCAUUUCUUGGCUACCUUUGAACAUCGUCAACGUCGUCGACGACUUUUACACACCUGCCAACGAUUGGUCUUAUUACAGACUUUGCUUUUUCAUGACGCACUGCCUCGCCAUGAGCAGCACCUGUUACAACCCAUUCCUUUACGCUUGGCUCAACGAUAACUUCCGCAAAGAAUUUAAGCAAGUACUUCCGUGUUUCCCGAGAACGGUUAAUGGUCACGUUCCAAGAAUCCAAGAACGAUUCCGAAACGAUAAUGCAUGCAACGGUAAUAAUACCCUUCAACGAUCAUUGCUACCGAGUCAUGCUCGAACCAAAACAUCCAAUCCAGAAGUAUGUGAACUGAUCGUUCUCGAAGCGACGAUCACCAAUGCGUGCCAAGAGCCCUCGAACACGGAAUUCUAUGACUCGAUGCAACUUCAUUCUGAGUAAGAAGACAACAGAGGCACAGACAAAAGUCAACUUUCUUCUUCUAAUUCUAACAAGAAUAGAAGAAACUACAUUUUCCGUCGAGAGAGGAAAACCUUGGUGGUAACAGUGCACCUAUUGCACCAGCUUUUCCACUAAUUUUUCCAACGAAAAUAACAGUCGUCGUUGGCGUUCGAAAACGCAUACGUACUUAGGUACAUGCGGCACAAACUGUUAUGAGAAAAAAUUACACAAAUACUUUCGUCUACCUUUUUUUUUUAUUUUUUCAUUCAAAGUCCUGAACCUGAAAAUAGCCGUAAAUUUGAUCCAAGAGAUAAAUAUCGGAUUGGAAAUUCACAUAGCCAGAAAAGAAUAACGAUACGGCGAUCGGUAGGUAAUUGAGCGAUUCGAAAAUCAUACAGUUCGUAUGCUCACCUUUCCUUUCCCUCGAUUCCUACUUUCGGACUUGUCCGAAAUACAGAGAAUGGCAAGGGGAAUGGGAGGAGAAAUGUUACAAAAAUCUGAUUCUCCAUUCCUCCCCGUUACACUAUCCUUCCUCUUCGGUCCGAAUACGGUCCGGAUACUCGAGUAUGGGAUACGAUCGGGAGGAUCGAAACAAACGAAACAACUUCGAACAAAAGGAACAAAAUUUCUUUACUAAAUUUUUAACGAAUAACAUUAUUCGAUAAUGUUACUGGUUUUCUUUUUUCCUUCCAUUUUUCCAUCAAAUUUCCUGCGAAAAAUAAAUGUAAUCGAAUCUAAAAACAUU
This is an RNA transcript of Colletes gigas, 2091 nucleotides long. It is a transcript of the gene named prolactin-releasing peptide receptor-like, with no coding region annotated. Lineage: Eukaryota; Metazoa; Arthropoda; Insecta; Hymenoptera; Colletidae. The record is from RefSeq and is a predicted model, not a curated record. The transcript has 4 exons.